CCAAGCUGAGGAUAGACUGGGGGCCCCUGUGGUGGUACUUGCUGAUAUGGUGGGGGCACUGGAUUAUACUGUGGCGGUGUUGGGCAAUACUGUGGUUAGGGCACUGGAUUAUACUGCGGUGGUGGCACCAGGUCGUACUGUGGAGGAGCAGGCUCGUACCGGGGUGGCUCGGGAUCCUCUCGCUGCAGUGAUGGCUCAACCUGUGGCAGCGGGGGAGCGUCAAG
RNAcentral lists this long non-coding RNA (224 nucleotides) under Carica papaya (papaya). RNAcentral describes it as "long non-coding RNA (CPAP_LNC010631)". Lineage: Eukaryota; Viridiplantae; Streptophyta; Magnoliopsida; Brassicales; Caricaceae. The record is from RNAcentral.